This 606-nucleotide long non-coding RNA is filed under the name Brassica napus (rape). RNAcentral's name for it is "long non-coding RNA (BNAP_LNC009278)". Lineage: Eukaryota; Viridiplantae; Streptophyta; Magnoliopsida; Brassicales; Brassicaceae. The record is from RNAcentral.
AUGAGAUUAAGAGAUCUUUAGAGUGAUUAGAAUAAAGAGAGUGUUUAGGAAGUGAUUAAGAGAAGUUUGUGAAAGAUUAAGAGACUAGAAAGAGCCGUUUAGUGUCUAAGAGAAAACCAUAGUCUAAGAGAUUAGAGAGACUCGAACUGAUUGAUCUUAUUAAUGAGUGAGGUUACAUAUUUAUAUAGAAGGCAUUAGGGUUUACAAGAGGCGAAAUGGGCACUAUUGAAGCAUGUAGAGUCAAGGUUGCUUUCCGGAUGAUUGGAUGGUAAGGCUCACAUGCUUUGCCUCUUUACAGCCUGUUCCAGCCUGGCUCGCUCUUCCCUUAUCCACUCAACGGUCUGAUCCCUUCUCCUUAAGUCCCCAAGGUAACACUCCCUUGUUACCGUUUCACUUGGUCGAGUUGGGUAAGUUUUGGUCGAGACCUUUGGUACGGACGGUACGGCCAUGUACGGCCUUGUACGGACGUCCGUACCAUUCACACCCAAACCCCCUAAGCUUCUCCAUCUCUUCUCCUCUUCAACUCCUCUUCUCUCCAUACCAAUAUACUCAGCUCAACUCAACACUCCCCCUCAAGCUUAGCUUUGUGAAAGCCUAAGCUUGGAU